This 206-nucleotide small nuclear RNA is filed under the name Gopherus evgoodei (Goodes thornscrub tortoise). RNAcentral's name for it is "U2 spliceosomal RNA (ENSGEVG00005007617.1)". The record is from RNAcentral. Lineage: Eukaryota; Metazoa; Chordata; Testudines; Testudinidae.
GUAGCUUCUUGGCCUUUUGGCUAAGAUCAAGUGUUGUAUCAGCAAAAACAAGGACGAGUCCUUGUGUCACCUCAAAGACUAACAAAUUAUUUGGGCAUAAGCUUUUGUGGACUAGAACCCAUUUCAUCAGAUGUCCACGAAAGCUUAUGCCCAAAUAAAAUUUUAUAUUGUCAGUUUCUGACUUUACUGACAAAAAGUUGUCCAUU